This 562-nucleotide ribosomal RNA is filed under the name uncultured bacterium. RNAcentral describes it as "bacterial LSU rRNA". It matches the Rfam family "Bacterial large subunit ribosomal RNA", at positions 575 to 1140 of the family's 2925-position model. The record is from RNAcentral.
CGGAGCCCCUUCUGGGGUGACGGCGUACCUUUUGUAUAAUGGGUCAGCGAGUUUCUGUUCGCGGCAAGCUUAAGCCGAUAGGCGAAGGCGCAGCGAAAGCGAGUCUGAACAGGGCGUUCAGUCGCGGGCAGAAGACCCGAAACCGAGUGAUCUAGCCAUGGCCAGGUUGAAGGUGGGGUAACACCCACUGGAGGACCGAACUCACGCCUGUUGAAAAAGUCGGAGAUGAGCUGUGGCUAGGGGUGAAAGGCCAAUCAAACUCGGAAAUAGCUGGUUCUCCGCGAAAUCUAUUGAGGUAGAUCGUCGGAUGUUUACCCUCGGGGGUAGAGCACUGGAUGGGCUAGGGGGACCCAAAGUCUUACCAAACCUAACCAAACUCCGAAUACCGAGAAGUAUAGUCCGGCAGACAGACGGCGGGUGCUAAGGUCCGUCGUCGAGAGGGAAACAGCCCAGACCACCAGCUAAGGUCCCCAAAUCGUGGCUAAGUGGGAAAGGAUGUGGGAAUUCCAAAACAACCAGGAGUUGGCUUAGAAGCAGCCAUCCUUUAAAGAAAGCGUAAUAG